Hypanus sabinus (Atlantic stingray) is the source of this 1193-nucleotide long non-coding RNA. RefSeq lists it as uncharacterized. The transcript has 3 exons. The record is from RefSeq and is a predicted model, not a curated record. Lineage: Eukaryota; Metazoa; Chordata; Chondrichthyes; Myliobatiformes; Dasyatidae.
CCCUGACUCUUCAAAGCCCAAUAAAAUACGAAUAUAAAGGGAUUAUCCUUGAACAGGAAGAACUUAUAGACUGCGGUAUCAAUUAAAUUGAGAGAAGUGCAGUGAAUACUGAACUGGAGGCUGACCAACCUUUAAUUGCUGCUUUUCAGGUCGGGGUGGAAGAAGCUGUUGGAAUAACUGCGUUCCAGAUUGAGAUGGUCGGGAUGCGUGAGUCAGAACUGCUGAGCCUGUGGAGAGAGUUGCAGGGGCCAGAGAAGAAACUGAUAUCUCGAUUGCAGGAGGCUGAAGAGGCUGCAGGAGCAGUGCAGGCCACGUGUUUCCGUUUGGAGAAGAUCAAACAGCAGCUACCGAUCGCAGAAAUGAGGAAGAAUAAGGAUUCUAUGUGCUGGAUGUGUGUUAGACCUGUGGUGAGAGGUUAAUUGGAAGAAAAAAACCUAACUGGAAGCCAACCACGCCUGAAGACGAGGGAACAGCAACAAGUGAACCAGCCCGAGGACUGAAAGCAUAAACUGGAGAGAACAACUCUGAAUCAACUGACUCGGAGUUCUCAUUGAUUCAGCUGUGCAGUCCAACCAUUCACCUCAGAAGGAUUUUUUUAUAUGGCGUUAAAAUUGUGGAACGUUAAGUUAAUAAUACGUAAAAGAAAAUCCCAGAUGCACGUCAAGAAAGACUAUUUGUGUGAGACUGUUUCAGUUACUGUGGGGCCAGUCACCCAUGCAGCUCAGCAGGAACAGGGAAUCAUACCAAUGGAGAGAGUCAAACUGAGCCAAGGCACAGAUUGGAGACGGCAGAAAUGCCCCAGUCUUAUUUAAGACAGGAAGAUCAUCAGGGAAUUAAUGGUCAUUCCAGACACCAGCACUCUGCCCAGUCAGGAGAUGAUUUCUCUGUCCAACUCGGGUUCAACCUCAUUGUAACAGUGAGGAACAGCCAGAUCAAAAAUUGGCGACUCAAGUAAUCUCAUCUGAAAUGUUGUCCUACAGCCAUUGAUGGACGUUGUAAAUCAUUUUACAGGUUAAAAACGAGAAGGAAUUUGUCUCCAGGAAUCUCAAACACAGCCCGCCAGUUUUGCUGUCUCUGUCCAGAUAUUUAAGAAGUGGAGCGAGGGAUUCAAUCGACCAUCCUUCCUGCUCAGACUGUGGGGAGGGAUUUAUUCGGUCAUCCUUCCUGCUCAGAAUGAGGGAAGAGAUUCACUC